RNAcentral lists this ribosomal RNA (500 nucleotides) under uncultured bacterium. RNAcentral's name for it is "partial 16S ribosomal RNA". It matches the Rfam family "Bacterial small subunit ribosomal RNA", at positions 30 to 523 of the family's 1533-position model. The record is from RNAcentral.
AUUGAACGCUGGCGGAAUGCUUUACACAUGCAAGUCGAACGGCAGCACGGACUUCGGUCUGGUGGCGAGUGGCGAACGGGUGAGUAAUGUAUCGGAACGUGCCCAGUCGUGGGGGAUAACGUAGUGAAAAUUACGCUAAUACCGCAUACGAUCUAUGGAUGAAAGCGGGGGAUCGCAAGACCUCGCGCGAUUGGAGCGGCCGAUAUCAGAUUAGGUAGUUGGUGGGGUAAAGGCCCACCAAGCCAACGAUCUGUAGCUGGUCUGAGAGGACGACCAGCCACACUGGAACUGAGACACGGUCCAGACUCCUACGGGAGGCCGCAGUGGGGAAUUUUGGACAAUGGGCGAAAGCCUGAUCCAGCCAUUCCGCGUGCAGGAUGAAGGCCCUCGGGUUGUAGACUGCUUUUGUACAGAACGAAAAGGUUUCUACUAAUACUAGGAGCUCAUGACGGUACUGUAAGAAUAAGCACCGGCUAACUACGUGCCAGCCGCCGCAGUAA